Molecule: ribosomal RNA, 523 nt
Filed under: uncultured sponge symbiont RSWS13
Lineage: Bacteria
Description: bacterial SSU rRNA
Rfam family: Bacterial small subunit ribosomal RNA
Source: RNAcentral
CUGGCGGCGUGCUUAACACAUGCAAGUCGAACGAUGAACCACCUUCGGGUGGGGAUUAGUGGCGAACGGGUGAGUAACACGUGGGCAAUCUGCCCUGCACUCUGGGACAAGCCCUGGAAACGGGGUCUAAUACCGGAUACUGAACCGCUUGGGCAUCCAGGCGGUCCGAAAGCUCCGGCGGUGCAGGAUGAGCCCGCGGCCUAUCAGCUUGUUGGUGAGGUAACGGCUCACCAAGGCGACGACGGGUAGCCGGCCUGAGAGGGCGACCGGCCACACUGGGACUGAGACACGGCCCAGACUCCUACGGGAGGCAGCAGUGGGGAAUAUUGCACAAUGGGCGAAAGCCUGAUGCAGCGACGCCGCGUGAGGGAUGACGGCCUUCGGGUUGUAAACCUCUUUCAGCAGGGAAGAAGCGAAAGUGACGGUACCUGCAGAAGAAGCGCCGGCUAACUACGUGCCAGCAGCCGCGGUAAUACGUAGGGCGCGAGCGUUGUCCGGAAUUAUUGGGCGUAAAGAGCUCGUA